CCAUGGGCCAGAGUCUGCAAGAAGCAGCUGAUCGGUCACGUGAUUUGCAGAAGGGAGAAGUGUGUCACAUGCCUUUCUGCAGUUUCCAGUCAACCAAAAUGGCUUUGCAAAGCGGCUUCCACGCGCGGAUUCUGUUAGGAGUUUUCUUUUUUGUCAGUGCGUCGUUCGUCCCGUGCGAUGCUCGUUUGAGAAACUUACAUUUUGGGACGCUGUUUGAUGUUGAGCAUACACUCGGAAAUGGCACCGCAGAAGAGCUGUGGUUCACUCAAAGACUGGAUCAUUUUAACGGCGCCGACAGACGAGUUUGGAAACAGAGGUACUUUGUGAACGACAGUUUCUUCAGAAGUGGCGGUCCGGUUUUCUUGAUGAUCGGUGGGGAAGGUCCAGCGAAUCCCGCGUGGAUGCAGUUCGGGACCUGGCUGACGUAUGCUCAGAAGCUCGGAGCGCUCUGUUUGAUGCUGGAGCACCGCUUCUAUGGGAAGAGCCGCCCGACUGAGGAUAUGAGCUUGGAGAACCUGCGCUACCUGAGCAGCCGCCAGGCGCUGGCCGACCUCGCGCACUUCCGCACCGCCAUGGCGGAGGCCCGCGGGCUGGCGAACAGGAAGUGGGUGGCGUUCGGUGGCUCGUACCCCGGCUCCCUGGCGGCCUGGUUCCGGCUGAAAUACCCACACCUCAUCCACGCUGCCGUGGCAACCAGCGCACCUGUGCAUGCUGUGCUCAACUUCCCAGAGUACCUUGAAGUGGUUCGGCGGUCCCUUGCUGCUGAGAACCUAGACUGCCCUCUGCUGGUGCAAAAGGCAUCCGACACCCUGCUGGAGCGUCUGAAAGACCCGAAGGCCUACAACAACAUCACUGAGGACUUCAAGCUGUGUGAGAAGCUGCAGAUCCAGACUGAUAUGGACUCUGCGUACCUCCUGGAGUCGCUGGCUGGGAACUUCAUGGAUGUGGUCCAGUACAACCAGGACAACCGGGCAUUUGAGGGUGUAGUUGGGACGAACAUCACCAUCCAGGUGUUGUGUGGGCUGAUGCUGGACGCGUCUCUGGGGGAGCCGUACGACAGGUAUGCAGCCGUCGCCCGCCUCAUGCUCCAGACCUUCUCCCAAAAGUGCCUGGAUGCCAGCUACACCAACUACGUGCGGGACAUGAGGAAUGCGUCCUGGAGCAGUCCUGCCUCAGGAGGACGGCAGUGGGUUUAUCAGACCUGCACGGAGUUUGGGUUCUACCAGAGCACCGACUCGCCCAACCAGCCUUUCAGCGGCUUCCCCCUGCCGUACCAUGUGAAGCAGUGUGGGGAUGUGUUCGACCCCUCCCUGACCGCGGACGCCAUCGCCAGCGCCGUUCAGGAGACCAAUGAGCAGUACGGCGGCUACGACAUCCACACCAGCCGAAUCGUCUUCCCCAAUGGCUCCAUCGACCCCUGGCAUGCCCUGAGCGUCACCAGGGACAUCAGCGAUGACCUGCCCGCCGUCUUCAUCCAGGAGUCCAAGCUAAACCCUACCUGAGCUGUUGCUUUUGAACUCUGGCCUGAAAGGACUGAAGGUGUGCAUUGUGAAGGCACCGCCCACUGUGCAAACAUGUACCCGGCGCGGGGGCAGGAUCUCCCCCAGCUCAGCCUGGCCCGGGACCACGUGUACCUGCUACUGCAGAAGUGGCUGAAGCAGUGACCUCUUCCUAAAGCCCCCCCCCCCCCCCCCCCCCACAGCCCGAGCCCAGAUCACUAUGGCCUUUAAGUUCCUGUGGCCUAAAGCACUUUAAUGUCUCUCGCUGCAAUGCUCGUUUUGUAAAUCUCUAAAUAAAUGUAUUGAGGUACGAUA
Molecule: RNA transcript, 1814 nt
Organism: Anguilla rostrata (American eel)
Lineage: Eukaryota; Metazoa; Chordata; Actinopteri; Anguilliformes; Anguillidae
Gene: prss59
Gene name: serine protease 59, putative
Exons: 10
Source: RefSeq, a predicted model, not a curated record